Molecule: ribosomal RNA, 482 nt
Filed under: uncultured bacterium
Lineage: Bacteria
Description: bacterial SSU rRNA
Rfam family: Bacterial small subunit ribosomal RNA
Source: RNAcentral
UUAACGCUAGCGGGAGGCCUAAUACAUGCAAGUCGAGGGGCAGCACGAGUAGCAAUACUUGGUGGCGACCGGCGCACGGGUGAGUAACGCGUACGCAAUCUACCUAUAACUGGUGAAUAGCCCGGGGAAACUCGGAUUAAUACACCAUAAUAUAUAGAGUUCGCAUGAACUUUAUAUUAAAGCUCCGGCGGUUAUAGAUGAGCGUGCGUCUGAUUAGCUAGUUGGUGAGGUAACGGCUCACCAAGGCUACGAUCAGUAGCUGGUCUGAGAGGAUGAUCAGCCACACUGGGACUGAGACACGGCCCAGACUCCUACGGGAGGCAGCAGUGAGGAAUAUUGGACAAUGGGCGCAAGCCUGAUCCAGCCAUGCCGCGUGCAGGAAGAAGCAUCUAUGGUGUGUAAACUGCUUUUGUACGGGAAGAAACAUCACUACGUGUAGUGACUUGACGGUACCGUAAGAAUAAGGAUCGGCUAACUCCGUG